Molecule: ribosomal RNA, 424 nt
Filed under: uncultured bacterium
Lineage: Bacteria
Description: bacterial SSU rRNA
Rfam family: Bacterial small subunit ribosomal RNA
Source: RNAcentral
AACGAACGCUGGCGGCAGGCCUAACACAUGCAAGUCGAACGGGUACCUUCGGGUACUAGUGGCGGACGGGUGAGUAACGCGUGGGAACGUACCCUUUGGUUCGGAAUAGCCCUGGGAAACUGGGAGUAAUGCCGGAUACGGUCGAGAGACGAAAGAUUUAUCGCCGAAGGAUCGGCCCGCGUUGGAUUAGGUAGUUGGUGGGGUAAUGGCCUACCAAGCCGACGAUCCAUAGCUGGUUUGAGAGGAUGAUCAGCCACACUGGGACCGAGACACGGCCCAGACUCCUACGGGAGGCAGCAGUGGGGAAUCUUAGACAAUGGGGGAAACCCUGAUCUAGCCAUGCCGCGUGAUCGAUGAAGGCCUUAGGGUUGUAAAGAUCUUUUCAGUGGGGAAGAUAAUGACGGUACCACAGAAGAAGCCCCGG